CCUACGGGGGACAGCAGUAGGGAAUAUUGCACAAUGGGGGAAACCCUGAUGCAGCGAUGCCGCGUGGAGGAAGAAGGUUUUCGGAUUGUAAACUCCUUUUAUCAGGGACGAUAAUGACGGUACCUGAAGAAAAAGCUCCGGCUAACUACGUGCCAGCAGCCGCGGUAAUACGUAGGGAGCGAGCGUUGUCCGGAAUUACUGGGUGUAACGGGAGCGUAGGCGGCCUGCCAAGUCUGGUGUGAAAACCCGGGGCCCAACCCCGGGCCUGCAUUGGAAACUGGCGGGCUGGAGUGUCGGAGGGGCAGGCGGAAUUCCUAGUGUAGCGGUGAAAUGCGUAGAUAUUAGGAGGAACACCGGUGGCGAAGGCGGCCUGCUGGACGAUGACUGACGCUGAGGCUCGAAAGCGUGGGGAGCAAACAGGAUUAGAUACCCUGGUAGUC
Molecule: ribosomal RNA, 440 nt
Filed under: uncultured bacterium
Lineage: Bacteria
Description: partial 16S ribosomal RNA
Rfam family: Bacterial small subunit ribosomal RNA
Source: RNAcentral